This 153-nucleotide unclassified non-coding RNA is filed under the name uncultured Micarea. RNAcentral describes it as "sequence contains ITS2". Lineage: Eukaryota; Fungi; Ascomycota; Lecanoromycetes; Lecanorales; Micareaceae. The record is from RNAcentral.
CACCCCUCAAGCGUAGCUUGGUAUUGGGCACUCGUCCUUGCGGACGUGCCUGAAAAAGAGUGGCGGUCCUGUGCGACUUCAAGCGUAGUAAAAUAUCUCCCGCUUUGGAAGCCUUCGCGCAGCGGCUGGCCAAAACCCACACACUUUUUCAAU